RNAcentral lists this long non-coding RNA (1209 nucleotides) under Marmota monax (woodchuck). Lineage: Eukaryota; Metazoa; Chordata; Mammalia; Rodentia; Sciuridae. The record is from RNAcentral.
GUGGAGAGAAGCUUGUGUGGGAGAGAGAGGCUUGGGGAAAGCCGGUGGUGGCAGUUGAGGCUCUGAGGGUUUUUCCUGAGAGACUAUUUUGUUUGUCGUGUGUGGUUCUAAAAAUAAAGUUAGUUUCUUUUGACAAGUGGCUCCUGAUUGUGCCCAGCCAGACUGCGGCAAUAGUCAUUAAGUAUGCCUGCUGUUUUCUUAAGCAAGGCAUUAUCUUUUGAUGUUUUCCAUAAUAUAUUAUUUAAAAACCCCUCUACAACAAAUACAGACUUCUUUUAUGAGGGGUAGAACCAUAGAGACCCGAGGAAAAUUAUAACAGUGUAUUGGAAGUAACCUAUAAAAUUACUAAAAUUUGAGUAUGCACCCUAUCUCCCCUCUUUUGCCCUGGGGAAGAGAUUUUGUUUCAUUUGCCUUUGAUGCUCCCAACACUAAUUAGUUAAAUGUAAUCUGUGAAUGGUGACAAUCUUCACACACAAACACACACACACACACACACACACACACACCCCUACCUUCCCCACUCAAAGCUUCCUUAUUCUCAGGCUACACAUAAACAAGUAGCUAAAUGACAGACUCUGGGAGGCCAAGGCCAGGUCUGUGCUGUAUCCCGGAAUAUUGAACAGUACCUGACACCUAGUAGGACCUCAACAUCUCUCUGUCCAGUGUAUAUAGGACCAGAAAUACCUGACUCCCUGUAGAGCAGUGUGUUCAGUUGGAUGCACCAUUUAAAAGUGAGAUUUCCAAUCCGUGAAACUACAGAAGGCCUGAGGGCUGAUGGCUGGGGAAAAGGUCCUAUGAGAAAGGGUGAGGGUACAGAUGUUUGCAGCUUCACAAAUGUGAUGGUUUGUUAUUGUCCAUCAAAAGUUCCGGUGUGAUACAGUGCAAGUUAGGAGAGCCUUAACCUACUUAGUGCAUCGAACCCCUGGUGGGGACUAACUGGGUGGUAACUGUAGGCAGUAGGGUGUGGCUGGAGGUGGUGGGUCUCUAGGGAUGGCCCCUGGGGUUGCUACUCUGUCCUGGUGAGGGGAGCACUCUCUCAGCUUCCCAGGUGUCCUGUCCUGAGCUGCUUCCCUACUCCACGCCCUUCUGCAGUGAUUUUUUAAUAAUAAUAAUAAUAUUAAAAUAAUAAUUAUUAUUGUUGUUAUUUUGUGUGUGUGCAGUGAUGUUCUCAAUUGUGAAAAGGUGUUUAAAAAUCGACUCAAAUACGCC